Molecule: ribosomal RNA, 495 nt
Filed under: uncultured bacterium
Lineage: Bacteria
Description: partial 16S ribosomal RNA
Rfam family: Bacterial small subunit ribosomal RNA
Source: RNAcentral
UGAACGCUGGCGGCGUGCCUAAUACAUGCAAGUCGAGCGAACAGACGAGGAGCUUGCUCCUCUGACGUUAGCGGCGGACGGGUGAGUAACACGUGGAUAACCUACCUAUAAGACUGGGAUAACUUCGGGAAACCGGAGCUAAUACCGGAUAAUAUAUUGAACCGCAUGGUUCAAUAGUGAAAGACGGUUUUGCUGUCACUUAUAGAUGGAUCCGCGCCGCAUUAGCUAGUUGGUAAGGUAACGGCUUACCAAGGCAACGAUGCGUAGCCGACCUGAGAGGGUGUUCGGCCACACUGGAACUGAGACACGGUCCAGACUCCUACGGGAGGCAGCAGUAGGGAAUCUUCCGCAAUGGGCGAAAGCCUGACGGAGCAACGCCGCGUGAGUGAUGAAGGUCUUCGGAUCGUAAAACUCUGUUAUUAGGGAAGAACAAAUGUGUAAGUAACUAUGCACGUCUUGACGGUACCUAAUCAGAAAGCCACGGCUAACUACGUG